GAAGCCGGAGCGCCAGCUUCGGUGGAGGCGCCGUUGGGAUACCACCCUGAUCGUAUCGGAGUUCUAACCUGGGACCGUGAAGCCGGUUCGGGGACAGUGUCAGGCGGGCAGUUUGACUGGGGCGGUCUCCUCCUAAAGAGUAACGGAGGCGCCCCAAGGUUCCCUCAGAAUGGUUGGAAAUCAUUCGAAGAGUGCAAAGGCAGAAGGGAGCUUGACUGCGAGACCUACAAGUCGAGCAGGGACGAAAGUCGGGCUUAGUGAUCCGGUGGUACCGCAUGGAAGGGCCAUCGCUCAACGGAUAAAAGCUACCCUGGGGAUAACAGGCUUAUCUCCCCCAAGAGUCCACAUCGACGGGGAGGUUUGGCACCUCGAUGUCGGCUCAUCGCAUCCUGGGGCUGAAGUAGGUCCCAAGGGUUGGGCUGUUCGCCCAUUAAAGCGGUACGCGAGCUGGGUUCAGAACGUCGUGAGACAGUUCGGUCCCUAUCUGUCGCGGGCGCAGGAAAUUUGAGAGGAGCUGUCCUUAGUACGAGAGGACCGGGAUGGACGUACCGCUGGUGUACCAGUUGUCUCGCCAGAGGCAUAGCUGGGUAGCCAAGUACGGAAGGGAUAAGCGCUGAAAGCAUCUAAGCGUGAAGCCCCCCUCAAGAUGAGAUUUCCCACAUUGGUAAGACCCCUUGAAGACGACGAGGUAGAUAGGUUGGAGGUGGAAGUGCAGCAAUGCAUGGAGCUGACCAAUACUAAUCGGUCGAGGGCUUAUCCUA
This 761-nucleotide ribosomal RNA is filed under the name Acinetobacter baumannii. RNAcentral's name for it is "partial 23S ribosomal RNA". It matches the Rfam family "Bacterial large subunit ribosomal RNA", at positions 2159 to 2925 of the family's 2925-position model. Lineage: Bacteria; Pseudomonadati; Pseudomonadota; Gammaproteobacteria; Moraxellales; Moraxellaceae. The record is from RNAcentral.